UCGUAAUGCUUCAUUCUCACAA
Molecule: microRNA, 22 nt
Filed under: Populus trichocarpa (black cottonwood)
Lineage: Eukaryota; Viridiplantae; Streptophyta; Magnoliopsida; Malpighiales; Salicaceae
Also listed under: 1 other name
Description: ptc-miR6427-5p
Source: miRBase by way of RNAcentral